CAAUAGCGUAUAUUAAAGUUGUUGCGGUUAAAAAGUUCGUAGUUGGAUUUCUGCUGAGAACGACCGGUCCGCCCUUUGGGUGUGUAUCUGGCUCUUUCUUGGCAUCUUCUUGGUGAACGUUGCUGCACUUGACUGUGUGGAGCGCUACCCAGGACUUUUACUUUGAGGAAAUUAGAGUGUUUCAAGCAGGCAUACGCCUUGAAUACAUUAGCAUGGAAUAAUAAGAUAGGACCUCGGUUCUAUUUUGUUGGUUUCUAGAGCUGAGGUAAUGAUUAAUAGGGAUAGUUGGGGGCAUUCGUAUUUAACUGUCAGAGGUGAAAUUCUUGGAUUUGUUAAAGACGGACUACUGCGAANGNAUUUGCNAAGGAUGUUUNCAUUG
Molecule: ribosomal RNA, 379 nt
Filed under: uncultured eukaryote
Lineage: Eukaryota
Description: partial 18S ribosomal RNA
Rfam family: Eukaryotic small subunit ribosomal RNA
Source: RNAcentral